AACAUCGCGCACCUGCGGGAACCUGCGGAAGGAUCAUUACAGAGUUGCAAGACUCCCUAAACCAUUGUGAACCUACCUUCUACCGUUGCUUCGGCGGGCGGGCCCAGCGCCCCCCCCGGCCCCCCGCGGGCGCCCGCCGGAGGAUACCCAAACUCUUGACAUUAGUGGCCUCUCUGAGUAUUCUUUACUGAAUAAGUCAAAACUUUUAACAAUGGAUCU
Molecule: unclassified non-coding RNA, 219 nt
Filed under: soil metagenome
Description: partial contains 5.8S ribosomal RNA, internal transcribed spacer 2, and large subunit ribosomal RNA
Source: RNAcentral